CGAAGGAAAACCCAUUGGCUAGCUUGGGAUAAACUCACUAAACCAAAAAGAGAGGAAGGGAUGGGUUUCCGAGUUCUUAGGUUGUUUAAUCAAACACUAUUGGCCAAACAGGCUUGGAGGUUACUGGUGAAUCCGGAUUCUUUAUGUGCUAAGAUUUUGACGGCAAAAUAUUAUCCCAAUGGUCACAUCCUGUAUACUGCUUUCCCCGCAGGCUACAUCCGUGAAUUGGCAGGGUAUUAUGCAUGGACUGGAUCUCCUAAAAAAAGGGGUCAUCUAGAGAGUGGUCGAUGGAAAAAAUGUUAA
RNAcentral lists this ribosomal RNA (303 nucleotides) under Triticum aestivum (bread wheat). RNAcentral describes it as "partial small subunit ribosomal RNA". The record is from RNAcentral. Lineage: Eukaryota; Viridiplantae; Streptophyta; Magnoliopsida; Poales; Poaceae.